UACGUAGGGGGCAAGCGUUGUCCGGAUUUAUUGGGCGUAACGAGCGUGUAGGCGGUUAGGUAGGUCCGUUGUGAAAACUCGAGGCUCAACCUCGAGACGCCGAUGGAAACCAUCUGACUAGAGUCCGGAAGAGGAGAGUGGAAUUCCUGGUGUAGCGGUGAAAUGCGCAGAUAUCAGGAAGAACACCCGUGGCUAAGGCGGCUCUCUAGUACGUGACUGACGCUGAGACGCGAAAGCGUGGGGAGCGAACAGG
RNAcentral lists this ribosomal RNA (253 nucleotides) under uncultured bacterium. Its description in RNAcentral is "partial 16S ribosomal RNA". It matches the Rfam family "Bacterial small subunit ribosomal RNA", at positions 524 to 776 of the family's 1533-position model. The record is from RNAcentral.